RNAcentral lists this transfer RNA (72 nucleotides) under Camelus ferus (Wild Bactrian camel). It matches the Rfam family "tRNA". Rfam says of the family: Transfer RNA (tRNA) molecules are approximately 80 nucleotides in length. Their secondary structure includes four short double-helical elements and three loops (D, anti-codon, and T loops). Lineage: Eukaryota; Metazoa; Chordata; Mammalia; Artiodactyla; Camelidae. The record is from Rfam by way of RNAcentral.
GAGGGUAUAGCUCAGUGGUAGAGUGCAUGCCUAGCAUGCAUGAGGUCCUGGGUUCAACACCCAGUACCUCCA